UGGGGAAUUUUGGACAAUGGGCGCAAGCCUGAUCCAGCAAUGCCGCGUGCAGGAUGAAGGCCUUCGGGUUGUAAACUGCUUUUGUACGGAGCGGAAAGGUCUGCCCUAAUACGGUGGGCUCAUGACGGUACCGUAAGAAUAAGCACCGGCUAACUACGUGCCAGCAGCCGCGGUAAUACGUAGGGUGCGAGCGUUAAUCGGAAUUACUGGGCGUAAAGCGUGCGCAGGCGGUUAUAUAAGACAGAGGUGAAAUCCCCGGGCUCAACCUGGGAACUGCCUUUGUGACUGCAUAGCUAGAGUACGGUAGAGGGGGAUGGAAUUCCGCGUGUAGCAGUGAAAUGCGUAGAUAUGCGGAGGAACACCGAUGGCGAAGGCAAUCCCCUGGACCUGUACUGACGCUCAUGCACGAAAGCGUGGGGAGCAAACA
Molecule: ribosomal RNA, 427 nt
Filed under: uncultured bacterium
Lineage: Bacteria
Description: bacterial SSU rRNA
Rfam family: Bacterial small subunit ribosomal RNA
Source: RNAcentral